RNAcentral lists this ribosomal RNA (279 nucleotides) under uncultured bacterium. Its description in RNAcentral is "partial 16S ribosomal RNA". It matches the Rfam family "Bacterial small subunit ribosomal RNA", at positions 506 to 784 of the family's 1533-position model. The record is from RNAcentral.
UGCCAGCAGCCGCGGUAACACGGAAGGGGCAAGCGUUGUUCGGAUUUAUUGGGCGUAAAGGGCGUGUAGGCGGCAAUACAAGUCUGGUGUGAAAUAUUCCGGCUCAACCGGAAAGACGCGCUGGAAACUGUAUUGCUUGAGUUUAGGAGGGGGAGCUGGAAUUCCUGGUGUAGGGGUGAAAUCUGUAGAGAUCAGGAAGAACACCGGAGGCGAAGGCGAGCUCCUGGCCAUAGACUGACGCUGAGGCGCGAAAGCGUGGGGAGCGAACAGGAUUAGAUA